This is a long non-coding RNA of Notolabrus celidotus (New Zealand spotty), 876 nucleotides long. RefSeq lists it as uncharacterized. NCBI's taxonomy places the organism in Eukaryota, Metazoa, Chordata, Actinopteri, Labriformes, Labridae. The record is from RefSeq and is a predicted model, not a curated record. The transcript is spliced from 3 exons.
GCUCCAACCCUACCACGGGACUUCCGGCUCCGUGCUCUCUCGUCCAUAAACACCCACCGAUUGAGUUUUUUAGAACGCAGCACGGAGCAGGUCGGCUGGACAGCUGGAGUCACGAGACUGAGGUGCCAGAAAAGAAGGAGUUACAGAAAUGUCUCAGCUGAAAGUCUACUGAACACCAGCCACCACCAAACAUGAAGCCAAGGAAUGGACAGAGGUGAUCUUAAAAAGUACUCACAUGUGCAGCGGAUGUCAAAGAGUGGUCAACAAACCUCCAAACAUGUUGGUUCAUGCAUCAGCGCAGCAUGGUCAAAAUCCCACCACAGGCCGCCGUGCUGCAGGUUAGAGAGGGGUAAAAAGAGUGGGAGAACCUCCUCCUCGUCCCUUCAGGAGGAGCAUCCUCGCUUCUGAUCCAUCAGCCUGCAGGAGAUGUAGCAAACAGGAUUGCUGCUUCCUCGGGGGAUUUGGCCAACUGCCCUAGCGUGGACUUUUCAUACAUGGAAACUAAGAAGACUCACUGUGGACCUGUCGAUCCAUCUGCUGCUGUCUUCAUAUUCACGUCAAAUAUGAGCCCAGAUUUGACCUUCUCUCAAAACUACCAUACUCAUCUCUGAGGAGAGAACCAGUCUAUUGUUUAUCAGAUCAUAAGCAGAAAAAUCACAGCAGUAUGUUAUGAACAGAUUCAUCUUAACUGUCUGUAAAACCUGCACUGAGAGCUGCAGGAGACUCCUUUGAAUCCUUAAGCCACCUUAGAAAUUUCAUUAGUUUGACUUUCAGUGGAACAUUUUACUUUCCCAAGAUGGUUUGAACCUUUUUAUUGAAGGUUUCCUCUCAGUGAUGAAAACGUCUCAUGUUUUCUGAAUAAAAUGACUGGAAAUA